This 1333-nucleotide ribosomal RNA is filed under the name uncultured bacterium. RNAcentral describes it as "bacterial SSU rRNA". It matches the Rfam family "Bacterial small subunit ribosomal RNA", at positions 28 to 1382 of the family's 1533-position model. The record is from RNAcentral.
GACGAACGCUGGCGGCGCGCCUAACACAUGCAAGUCGAACGAGCGAGAGAGAGCUUGCUUUCUCGAGCGAGUGGCGAACGGGUGAGUAACGCGUGAGGAACCUGCCUCAAAGAGGGGGACAACAGUUGGAAACGACUGCUAAUACCGCAUAAGCCCACGGCUCGGCAUCGAGCAGAGGGAAAAGGAGCAAUCCGCUUUGAGAUGGCCUCGCGUCCGAUUAGCUAGUUGGUGAGGUAAUGGCCCACCAAGGCAACGAUCGGUAGCCGGACUGAGAGGUUGAACGGCCACAUUGGGACUGAGACACGGCCCAGACUCCUACGGGAGGCAGCAGUGGGGAAUAUUGCACAAUGGGGGAAACCCUGAUGCAGCGACGCCGCGUGGAGGAAGAAGGUCUUCGGAUUGUAAACUCCUGUUGUUGGGGAAGAUAAUGACGGUACCCAACAAGGAAGUGACGGCUAACUACGUGCCAGCAGCCGCGGUAAAACGUAGGUCACAAGCGUUGUCCGGAAUUACUGGGUGUAAAGGGAGCGCAGGCGGGAAGACAAGUUGGAAGUGAAAUCUAUGGGCUCAACCCAUAAACUGCUUUCAAAACUGUUUUUCUUGAGUAGUGCAGAGGUAGGCGGAAUUCCCGGUGUAGCGGUGGAAUGCGUAGAUAUCGGGAGGAACACCAGUGGCGAAGGCGGCCUACUGGGCACCAACUGACGCUGAGGCUCGAAAGUGUGGGUAGCAAACAGGAUUAGAUACCCUGGUAGUCCACACCGUAAACGAUGAUUACUAGGUGUUGGAGGAUUGACCCCUUCAGUGCCGCAGUUAACACAAUAAGUAAUCCACCUGGGGAGUACGACCGCAAGGUUGAAACUCAAAGGAAUUGACGGGGGCCCGCACAAGCAGUGGAGUAUGUGGUUUAAUUCGACGCAACGCGAAGAACCUUACCAAGUCUUGACAUCCCUUGACGAUGCUGGAAACAGUAUUUCUCUUCGGAGCAAGGAGACAGGUGGUGCAUGGUUGUCGUCAGCUCGUGUCGUGAGAUGUUGGGUUAAGUCCCGCAACGAGCGCAACCCUUAUGGUCAGUUACUACGCAAGAGGACUCUGGCCAGACUGCCGUUGACAAAACGGAGGAAGGUGGGGAUGACGUCAAAUCAUCAUGCCCUUUAUGACUUGGGCUACACACGUACUACAAUGGCGUUAAACAAAGAGAAGCAAGACCGCGAGGUGGAGCAAAACUCAGAAACAACGUCCCAGUUCGGACUGCAGGCUGCAACUCGCCUGCACGAAGUCGGAAUUGCUAGUAAUCGUGGAUCAGCAUGCCACGGUGAAUACGUUCCCGGGCCUU